Alteromonas confluentis is the source of this 183-nucleotide ribosomal RNA. It matches the Rfam family "Bacterial small subunit ribosomal RNA", at positions 1 to 179 of the family's 1533-position model. The record is from Rfam. Lineage: Bacteria; Pseudomonadati; Pseudomonadota; Gammaproteobacteria; Alteromonadales; Alteromonadaceae.
UAAUUGAAGAGUUUGAUCAUGGCUCAGAUUGAACGCUGGCGGCAGGCCUAACACAUGCAAGUCGAACGGUAGCAGGAUGUGCUUGCACAUCGCUGACGAGUGGCGGACGGGUGAGUAAUGCUUGGGAACUUGCCUUUGCGAGGGGGAUAACAGUUGGAAACGACUGCUAAUACCGCAUAAUGU